Colossoma macropomum (tambaqui) is the source of this 372-nucleotide non-coding RNA. Lineage: Eukaryota; Metazoa; Chordata; Actinopteri; Characiformes; Serrasalmidae. The record is from the annotation of a RefSeq genome assembly.
AUGGGGUUUAGUGUUGCUCAGUACUGCAUUCCUAUACUGAUAUUAACACAAGAUUUUAUAAGUGCUGAGAUCCGACUUGACCAGUCUUCUGCUGAGGUGAAGAAACCUGGAGAAGCUGUGAAGAUCUCCUGUAAAAUUAGUGGGUACAGCAUGACGAGCUACAACAUGGGCUGGAUAAGACAGAAACCAGGACAAGCUCUGGAACUGAUUGGAUUGAUGAGCACUGGCACAAAUUCAGCAACAUAUUCAGAUUCAAUGAAAGACCACUUCAAAAUGACUGAGGACGUUUCUACAAUUACACAGUUCUUAGAGGCCAAGAGUCUGAGAGCAGAGGACACUGCUGUUUAUUACUGCGCUCGAGAUCCACAGUGA